UACGUAGGGGGCAAGCGUUGUCCGGAUUUAUUGGGCGUAAAGAGCGUGUAGGCGGCUAGGCAGGUCUGCUGUGAAAACUCGAGGCUCAACCUCGAGAUGUCGGCGGAAACCAUCUGGCUAGAGUCCGGAAGAGGAAAGUGGAAUUCCCGGUGUAGCGGUGAAAUGCGCAGAUAUCGGGAAGAACACCCGUGGCGAAGGCGGCUUUCUGGGACGGUACUGACGCUGAGACGCGAAAGCGUGGGGAGCGAACAGG
This 253-nucleotide ribosomal RNA is filed under the name uncultured bacterium. RNAcentral describes it as "partial 16S ribosomal RNA". It matches the Rfam family "Bacterial small subunit ribosomal RNA", at positions 524 to 776 of the family's 1533-position model. The record is from RNAcentral.